This 491-nucleotide ribosomal RNA is filed under the name uncultured Sphingobacteriales bacterium. RNAcentral describes it as "bacterial SSU rRNA". It matches the Rfam family "Bacterial small subunit ribosomal RNA", at positions 903 to 1382 of the family's 1533-position model. Lineage: Bacteria; Pseudomonadati; Bacteroidota; Sphingobacteriia; Sphingobacteriales. The record is from RNAcentral.
CUCAGAAACUACAAAGGAAGUUGACGGGGGCCCGCGACAAGCGGUGGAGCAUGUGGUUUAAUUCGAUGAUACGCGAGGAACCUUACCUGGGCUCAAAUGUAUGUUGACGUAUUCUGAAAGGGAUACUUCUUCGGACAAUAUACAAGGUGCUGCAUGGUUGUCGUCAGCUCGUGCCGUGAGGUGUCGGGUUAAGUCCCAUAACGAGCGCAACCCCUAUCAUUAGUUGCCAUCAGGUCAAGCUGGGGACUCUAAUGAAACUGCCUACGCAAGUAGUGAGGAAGGUGGGGAUGACGUCAAAUCAGCACGGCCCUUACGUCCAGGGCUACACACGUGCUACAAUGGCCGGUACAAAGGGCAGCUACCUGGUGACAGGAUGCUAAUCUCAAAAGCCGGUCUCAGCUCGGAUCGGAGUCUGCAACCCGACUCCGUGAAGUUGGAUUCGCUAGUAAUCGCGCAUCAGCCAUGGCGCGGUGAAUACGUUCCCGGGCCUU